This 427-nucleotide long non-coding RNA is filed under the name Olea europaea subsp. europaea. Lineage: Eukaryota; Viridiplantae; Streptophyta; Magnoliopsida; Lamiales; Oleaceae. The record is from RNAcentral.
GCCUCACGCACUAAAUUCUCUAUCUGAGUAAGCAUCGGAGGGGCGACGAUCACACACGUCGUUGCCUUUGUUGCAGGUAUUCAAAGACCGUUCAUGUUCAUCAAAGUUCGAAGUUCGAUCAUCAAGUUCGAGAUCUUUCAGGUAAUAUUUUUUGGUAGCAUCACUUAUAUUUAAAAUAUGUUGGAGUUUAAUUUUGUAAUUAGUUUGUGCAGAAUCUAAAAUUUGUGAAUUGUUUUGUUUUGUGAGGUGAUUUCAAGGUGCGUCUUUAAGCAUGUGGAGUCUUUCUAUUUCUCGUCUAGGAUUUUGGGAGUGUGAGGAGCUCAUGGUAUUCUUAACUUCAUUUAUCGCUGCUCAAAUUAUGUAAAAAUAUUCAAUUUACCUGUACAAUGUUCAAAAGUUAAGGGACGUUUUCAUUUUUGGUUUUCCC